Molecule: ribosomal RNA, 301 nt
Filed under: uncultured bacterium
Lineage: Bacteria
Description: partial 16S ribosomal RNA
Rfam family: Bacterial small subunit ribosomal RNA
Source: RNAcentral
CAGCCGCCGCGGGAAUACGUAGGAGGCAAGCGUUGUCCGGAAUUAUUGGGCGUAAAGCGCGCGCAGGCGGAUCAGUUAGUCUGUCUUAUAAGUUCGGGGCUUAACCCCGUGAUGGGAUGGAAACUGCUGAUCUAGAGUAUCGGAGAGGAAAGUGGAAUUCCUAGUGUAGCGGUGAAAUGCGUAGAUAUUAGAAAGAACACCAGUGGCGAAGGCGGCUUUCUGGACGAAAACUGACGCCGAGGCGCGAAAGCCAGGGGAGCGAACGGGAUUAGAUACCCGGGUAGUCCCUGUCUCUUAUACA